RNAcentral lists this ribosomal RNA (548 nucleotides) under Alternaria sp. Its description in RNAcentral is "eukaryotic LSU rRNA". The stretch from base 173 to 326 matches the Rfam family "5.8S ribosomal RNA". Lineage: Eukaryota; Fungi; Ascomycota; Dothideomycetes; Pleosporales; Pleosporaceae. The record is from RNAcentral.
GUGCGGCUAUUCCAAAAUGAGGCGGGCUGGACCUCUCGGGGUUACAGCCUUGCUGAAUUAUUCACCCUUGUCUUUUGCGUACUUCUUGUUUCCUUGGUGGGUUCGCCCACCACUAGGACAAACAUAAACCUUUUGUAAUUGCAAUCAGCGUCAGUAACAAAUUAAUAAUUACAACUUUCAACAACGGAUCUCUUGGUUCUGGCAUCGAUGAAGAACGCAGCGAAAUGCGAUAAGUAGUGUGAAUUGCAGAAUUCAGUGAAUCAUCGAAUCUUUGAACGCACAUUGCGCCCUUUGGUAUUCCAAAGGGCAUGCCUGUUCGAGCGUCAUUUGUACCCUCAAGCUUUGCUUGGUGUUGGGCGUCUUGUCUCUAGCUUUGCUGGAGACUCGCCUUAAAGUAAUUGGCAGCCGGCCUACUGGUUUCGGAGCGCAGCACAAGUCGCACUCUCUAUCAGCAAAGGUCUAGCAUCCAUUAAGCCUUUUUUUCAACUUUUGACCUCGGAUCAGGUAGGGAUACCCGCUGAACUUAAGCAUAUCAAUAAGCGGAGGAA